CCUACGGGCGGCAGCAGUGGGGAAUAUUGGGCAAUGGGCGCAAGCCUGACCCAGCAACGCCGCGUGAAGGAAGAAGGCCUUCGGGUUGUAAACUUCUUUUGUCAGGGAAGAGUAGAAGACGGUACCUGCCGAAUAAGCCACGGCUAACUACGUGCCAGCAGCCGCGGUAAUACGGAGGUGGCAAGCGUUGUCCGGAUUUACUGGGUGUAAAGGGCGUGUAGCCGGGUUGACAAGUCAGUUGUGAAAGCCUGCGGCUUAACCGCAGAACUGCAUUUGAAACUGUUGGUCUUGAGUACUGGAGAGGCAGACGGAAUUCCUGGUGUAGCGGUGAAAUGCGUAGAUAUUAGGAGGAACACCAGUGGCGAAGGCGGUCUGCUGGACAGCAACUGACGGUGAGGCGCGAAAGCGUGGGGAGCAAACAGGAUUAGAUACCCGUGUAGUC
RNAcentral lists this ribosomal RNA (442 nucleotides) under uncultured bacterium. Its description in RNAcentral is "partial 16S ribosomal RNA". It matches the Rfam family "Bacterial small subunit ribosomal RNA", at positions 338 to 795 of the family's 1533-position model. The record is from RNAcentral.